AAGUGUCUAAUCUAAUUUAACCUUGGCAAUUACUUGAAUUCAAUCACGUGGUCAAUAAUUAUAGCAUAGAGCACAAUGUGGCCUACUAAGUCUGUUCAAAGAAUAGAUACUAUAAUAUGUUUGCUGCCCAAUUAACAAUACAGUUUAAGCAAAAACUGCUUGAUUGACGCAUUGUUAAGCAAUUUGACGCUGUUAUGACAACGGUUCGGUUCGUUAGUUUGGGAAGUGUACCGGAAUCAAAUGGCAAUCAUCUGCUGAGAGUCUGCACUGCACACUAAAGCCAAUGGAACUAAACACUUAAACUGAAAGAUUUGCUCUAGUUACACUUCGUAGAUGCUUGGAAUAGAUUUGAUUUAAUCACAAAAACAUCGAGGCAACGCCAGCUGAACCACAGAUUCCUCUCCCACACAGUGCUAAACCCGAGGAACAGGUGAUUCA
Long non-coding RNA from Cydia strobilella, 438 nucleotides. RefSeq lists it as uncharacterized. The record is from RefSeq and is a predicted model, not a curated record. The transcript is spliced from 3 exons. Lineage: Eukaryota; Metazoa; Arthropoda; Insecta; Lepidoptera; Tortricidae.